GGAGGCUUCGCCUAGUCCGGUCUAUGGCGCCGCACUGCUAAUGCGGUUUGGGUUUACGCCCAUCCGGGGUUCAAAUCCCCGAGCCUCCGCCA
Molecule: transfer RNA, 92 nt
Filed under: Trebonia sp.
Lineage: Bacteria; Bacillati; Actinomycetota; Actinomycetes; Streptosporangiales; Treboniaceae
Also listed under: 2 other names
Description: tRNA-Ser
Rfam family: tRNA
About the family: Transfer RNA (tRNA) molecules are approximately 80 nucleotides in length. Their secondary structure includes four short double-helical elements and three loops (D, anti-codon, and T loops). Further hydrogen bonds mediate the characteristic L-shaped molecular structure. tRNAs have two regions of fundamental functional importance: the anti-codon, which is responsible for specific mRNA codon recognition, and the 3' end, to which the tRNAs corresponding amino acid is attached (by aminoacyl-tRNA synthetases). tRNAs cope with the degeneracy of the genetic code in two manners: having more than one tRNA (with a specific anti-codon) for a particular amino acid; and 'wobble' base-pairing, i.e. permitting non-standard base-pairing at the 3rd anti-codon position.
Source: RNAcentral